This 481-nucleotide ribosomal RNA is filed under the name uncultured bacterium. RNAcentral's name for it is "partial 16S ribosomal RNA". It matches the Rfam family "Bacterial small subunit ribosomal RNA", at positions 28 to 507 of the family's 1533-position model. The record is from RNAcentral.
GAUGAACGCUGGCGGCGUGCUUAACACAUGCAAGUCGAACGAAGCACUUUAUUUGAUUUCCUUCGGGACUGAUUAUUUUGUGACUGAGUGGCGGACGGGUGAGUAACGCGUGGGUAACCUGCCUUGUACAGGGGGAUAACAGUUGGAAACGGCUGCUAAUACCGCAUAAGCGCACAGCAUCGCAUGAUGCAGUGUGAAAAACUCCGGUGGUAUAAGAUGGACCCGCGUUGGAUUAGCUAGUUGGUGAGGUAACGGCCCACCAAGGCGACGAUCCAUAGCCGACAUGAGAGGGUGACCGGCCACAUUGGGACUGAGACACGGCCCAAACUCCUACGGGAGGCAGCAGUGGGGAAUAUUGCACAAUGGGCGAAAGCCUGAUGCAGCGACGCCGCGUGAGCGAAGAAGUAUUUCGGUAUGUAAAGCUCUAGCAGCAGGGAAGAUAAUGACGGUACCUGACUAAGAAGCACCGGCUAAAUACGUG